This 487-nucleotide ribosomal RNA is filed under the name Salmonella enterica. RNAcentral describes it as "partial 23S ribosomal RNA". It matches the Rfam family "Bacterial large subunit ribosomal RNA", at positions 1269 to 1756 of the family's 2925-position model. Lineage: Bacteria; Pseudomonadati; Pseudomonadota; Gammaproteobacteria; Enterobacterales; Enterobacteriaceae. The record is from RNAcentral.
GUUGCUGGAGGUAUCAGAAGUGCGAAUGCUGACAUAAGUAACGAUAAAGCGGGUGAAAAGCCCGCUCGCCGGAAGACCAAGGGUUCCUGUCCAACGUUAAUCGGGGCAGGGUGAGUCGACCCCUAAGGCGAGGCCGAAAGGCGUAGUCGAUGGGAAACGGGUUAAUAUUCCCGUACUUGGUGUUACUGCGAAGGGGGGACGGAGAAGGCUAUGUUGGCCGGGCGACGGUUGUCCCGGUUUAAGCGUGUAGGUGUGUGUUCCAGGUAAAUCCGGUUCACUUUAACACUGAGGCGUGAUGACGAGGCACUACGGUGCUGAAGCAACAAAUGCCCUGCUUCCAGGAAAAGCCUCUAAGCAUCAGGUAACAUCAAAUCGUACCCCAAACCGACACAGGUGGUCAGGUAGAGAAUACCAAGGCGCUUGAGAGAACUCGGGUGAAGGAACUAGGCAAAAUGGUGCCGUAACUUCGGGAGAAGGCACGCUGACA